GAUGAACGCUGGCGGCGUGCCUAAUACAUGCGAGUCGAGCGAACAGACGAGGAGCUUGCUCCUCUGACGUUAGCGGCGGACGGGUGAGUAACACGUGGAUAACCUACCUAUAAGACUGGGAUAACUUCGGGAAACCGGAGCUAAUACCGGAUAAUAUAUUGAACCGCAUGGUUCAAUAGUGAAAGACGGUUUUGCUGUCACUUAUAGAUGGAUCCGCGCCGCAUUAGCUAGUUGGUAAGGUAACGGCUUACCAAGGCAACGAUGCGUAGCCGACCUGAGAGGGUGAUCGGCCACACUGGAACUGAGACACGGUCCAGACUCCUACGGGAGGCAGCAGUAGGGAAUCUUCCGCAAUGGGCGAAAGCUUGACGGAGCAACGCCGCGUGAGUGAUGAAGGUCUUCGGAUCGUAAAACUCUGUUAUUAGGGAAGAACAAAUGUGUAAGUAACUAUGCACGUCUUGACGGUACCUAAUCAGAAAGCCACGGCUAACUACGUG
This 497-nucleotide ribosomal RNA is filed under the name uncultured bacterium. RNAcentral's name for it is "partial 16S ribosomal RNA". It matches the Rfam family "Bacterial small subunit ribosomal RNA", at positions 28 to 507 of the family's 1533-position model. The record is from RNAcentral.